Long non-coding RNA from Sinocyclocheilus grahami, 479 nucleotides. RefSeq lists it as uncharacterized. NCBI's taxonomy places the organism in Eukaryota, Metazoa, Chordata, Actinopteri, Cypriniformes, Cyprinidae. The record is from RefSeq and is a predicted model, not a curated record. The transcript has 3 exons.
UUGUCCACUCUCUCUCUCUCUCUGCCUCUCCGUAGAAUGCACACUCAAACAUUCCAACAAAUGUUUCACUCGAUUUUGAAAUUGGCUGGUUAAAAAGUUGCACAUUUAUGCAGUAAAAUAAGGGAAGCACAUGAAAAGCUUGUUCUGCGCUUUAUGGGCGUUGCUGGUCCAUUUAUAUCGCAUGACUCCAGGGCAGGUUUCUCUUUCACUCAGACGUUCUUUUGGGACAAGCAUCUUUUAUAAAAGUGUCAUCAGUCAUGGAGAGUCUCUCUCGUGCUAACAGUCUCUUCGCUCUGGAUCUCUAUCGGACUCUGAGCGAGAGCAGCGCCGAGGGAAACAUGUUCUUUUCCCCACUGAGCAUCAGCGCAGCGCUCAGCAUGGUCUACUUGGGAGCUCGAGGAGACACUGCCAAAGAAAUGGAAAAGGUAUGAAGUAUAAGCAUCUGGAGAACAAGCAAAGGUCUGUGUGGGAGUUUUUUU